Molecule: long non-coding RNA, 1379 nt
Organism: Alosa sapidissima (American shad)
Lineage: Eukaryota; Metazoa; Chordata; Actinopteri; Clupeiformes; Clupeidae
Exons: 4
Source: RefSeq, a predicted model, not a curated record
UGCUCCCCGAGCGCCGCUGUAGCAGGCAGCUCACUGCUCCGGGUAUGAUAGUGCAGACCCUGUCAGGAAGCAAGUGGAAGAGAGAUGGGGUGACAGACACAAUAUCUUGCAGGGUAACCACAUAACCAGCUCCAUGUAUUCCAACUGGAUGAUUAAAGCUCUCAAGAAAAAAACUGAUGAUUCUCAAGAGAAAGGGUCUGCUAGUACUGGCCCAGGAGUCUGUCCCCAUGGAUCCACACCAGGCCUGGGCCUAAUUUGGACCACAGGCAGGCCAGAUCUGCACCAGUUAUCUGCCAUGCGGCAUGCCUCUUUGAGCCCCGCAGGUGUUGUGCCGAGUUUCUAUUUUUCACCAGAGCUGCAGAGAAGCUCAGAGGUUGUCCACGUCAGCAUCAGCGCAGUGACAGCCCGCAGCUGCAGUGGCGUUCCCGUAUGAACCCCAGCGGAACGGCUCUCCUCAGGCUCCAUCUGCCGAGCCCAGUCUCUUUCGUAACCUCCGGCCUGCGCCUCACCUCGCCUCACUGGAAUCCUCGGAAUGUCGUCUCUUUUCCCUCGUUUUCUACCGCUCUGUGAAAAACAUUGCCUGUUCGAAAAGUGCGUCACGGCCCUGAGCUGAAAUGUCGCACAUUGGUGCGAAGGGGAAGGCUCUGGCUGGCCUCUUGGCCUUGCAGCGCAGGCUCUUAGACACCAGUGCAAAUAUUUGUGCCAAUGACAUCACUUUAACAAAGGGCUUAGACAAUCAAAGGAAAGCGCAGCCCCAGUUUUGCGUAAUCUUGUGUAGAAAAAGAAGGCUUACAGACAAAGCCUCGUCAUAUUUUUGGUCUGAUAGGACACAUGGUUUUAUAAUACACUUGCAUAUGUGUCUGUGUGUGAAUACAUGCUUGUGUGUGUGUGUGCAUGUGUGCACAUUUGUACAAUAUCCUCCUGACUACCAGCAGUUCAAUUUUGUCCUCUCUAGAGGACCUUUAUAAACCGGAAUAUCUCCCACACCAUACAUUCUACUGAGCUAAUUCCUUUUGUUCUCUAAAGAGGACAUUUAGGGCUUUUAAAUGGUAUCACAUGUAUAGGGGUGGGUAUUUGGGAACUUCCUCUUCCUCUUCAAAGAAAAUGGCGGCCAUCACCACAAGGACAUUUUAUGGAAAGAAGAAAAGUAAGUGCUUAAUCAAGUUAGUUGAGCAUUUAACAUUUAAAAUGUUGUUGUUGUUGUUUUUUCUACGAAUCUCUUAAAAACACUUAAAAUAAUUUUCUGAAGUAAUGUAACAAUGUUUUACCAUCAUAGGAGAGUGUUAAACAAUUGUCCUCCGCAGUGGACAUUUGUAGUUACUACCUCCAUUUUGUUCUCUAUUUUACUUAUUAUAUGAUUCAGUUUUAUGUGUACGGUG